RNAcentral lists this long non-coding RNA (1081 nucleotides) under Xyrichtys novacula (pearly razorfish). The record is from RNAcentral. Lineage: Eukaryota; Metazoa; Chordata; Actinopteri; Labriformes; Labridae.
CCUGAUUUUCCCCGGCGGCUGGUACAAACAGGUAAAUACUGCUUGUCUUUUUUGCAUCCAAGCAUGUCGUGUUUAUUAAAAAAAAAGUUUCCUCCGUUUUUUUAGCGUUGCAGAUAUGACGGGCAAAAUCAGCCAGUACUUUAAAAAGCGACCUCGCGAGGAGGAAAGUCAAGAGUCCAGGUGAAACACAGCAGAGAAAAAACGUAACAGGCAGUUAAAAUGCUAUAAUUCAUGGUGGUGACAAUGUGGAAAUUUGUGUCAGGUCUGAAAGUACUUCACAAGGGACUGGUGAUCGCGAGGGUCAGAAUGCAGGACAGGAUGAGUCGGCGAGGCGAGGGUAAUUAAUUAAUUAGUUUCCAAUUAGGAGCAUAACAACGCAAAACCAACGUGUACGUGGUUUUUAUUCCUCUUUCCAGAUCUUCUCAAAAACACAGAGCCAGUGGCUUUGACAAGCAGUGGCUCAAUCAAUUUACCUGGCUCAGGCAUACUGAGGAAGGCAUGCACUGCUAUUGAUGCCAAAAGCACUGUGCCCCAACACAGCAGGCAAUUGCUGCCUCCUUAGUGAGACAGCCAUCAACCAACUACAGGCUGGACACAUUAAAAAGACAUGAGGUGACAGUCGUUCACAAAGCAGCAGAAGAGAAGGAGAAAUAUAUUAAAGAUGGUAGUACCUAAAAACACUCAACUAAUAAAGUUACAAAAACUAAAAUAACAUAGUUUAGAUAGUUUAAGAAAUAAUUGGUUGUCGUUUUUUUAGGGAGGACACUGCAACGUAUACAUAUAUAUAACAUAUGAUUGAAAACACUAUCACUCUUCAUGUCUGUAUCAGAAUAAAAACAAAAAUACUUAAUGCAUGAUGAAUUGUUUUGUUUAAGGUGAAGACACCUCUGCGGAACAGACUGAAGGAGAGGCACUUGGAUGUCUGUUGUAAGGUGGCCGUUGAUGGACCAGACCAGGAGGCCUUGGACUACAAGGAGGGCAUGAGGAGGUUCUACAGAAUGAAAAAGAGGAGGCUGAAAUGUUCUGUCUGGUUGUGAGAUGUGUGGAUGAAGUGUACUUUCAAUUUAAAGUUGCCAGCUGA